UUGGAGGGCAAGUCUGGUGCCAGCAGCCGCGGUAAUUCCAGCUCCAAUAGCGUAUAUUAAAGUUGUUGCAGUUAAAAAGCUCGUAGUUGAAUUUCGGGAUCAAUAUGUUGGUCGUGCCUUUGGUACGUACUAGCUUAUUGAUUUCUCCCUUCUGACGAACCAUGAUGUCAUUAAUUUGGUGUCAUGGGAAAUCAGGACUGUUACUUUGAAAAAAUUAGAGUGUUUAAAGCAGGCUUACGCUUGAAUACAUCAGCAUGGAAUAAUGAAAUAGGACGUUUUGAUUCUAUUUUGUUGGUUUCUAGGAUCGACGUAAUGAUUAAUAGGGAUAGUUGGGGGCAUUAGUAUUCAAUUGUCAGAGGUGAAAUUCUUGGAUUUAUUGAAGACUAACUACUGCGAAAGCAUUUGCCAAGGAUGUUUUCAUUAAUCAAGAACGAAAGUUAGGGGAUCGAAGACGAUCAGAUACCGUCGUAGUCUUAACCAUAAACUAUGCCGACUAGGGAUCGGAUGAUGUUAAUUUUUUAAUGACUCAUUCGGCGCCUUACGGGAAACCAAAGUGUUUGGGUUC
This 565-nucleotide ribosomal RNA is filed under the name uncultured Glomeromycotina. Its description in RNAcentral is "SSU rRNA". It matches the Rfam family "Eukaryotic small subunit ribosomal RNA", at positions 548 to 1114 of the family's 1831-position model. Lineage: Eukaryota; Fungi; Glomeromycota. The record is from RNAcentral.